AGCAGCCGCGGUAAUUCCAGCUCCAAUAGCGUAUAUUAAAGUUGUUGCAGUUAAAAAGCUCGUAGUUGAAUUUCGGAAUCUGUCCGUCGGUCGGGCUUCACUGUCCGUACUGGUGUGGUGGGUUCUUACCUUCUGAAUAACCAGCAUGCCAUUCAUUUGGUGCGCUGGGGAAGCAGGACUAUUACCUUGAAAAAUUAGAGUGCUCAAAGCAGGCUAGUGCCUGAAUACAUUAGCAUGGAAUAAUAAAAUAGGACGGCAUGGUUCUAUUUUGUUGGUUUCUAGGAUCACCGUAAUGAUUAAUAGGGAUAGUUGGGGGCAUUAGUAUUCAAUUGUCAGAGGUGAAAUUCUUGGAUUUAUUGAAGACUAACUUCUGCGAAAGCAUUUGCCAAGGAUGUUUUCAUUAAUCAAGAACGAAAGUUAGGGGAUCGAAGACGAUCAGAUACCGUCGUAGUCUUAACAUAAACUAUGCCGACUAGGGAUCGGACGAUGUUAAUUUUUAAUGUACUCGUUCGGUCCG
Molecule: unclassified non-coding RNA, 517 nt
Filed under: uncultured Acaulospora
Lineage: Eukaryota; Fungi; Glomeromycota; Glomeromycetes; Diversisporales; Acaulosporaceae
Description: SSU rRNA
Rfam family: Eukaryotic small subunit ribosomal RNA
Source: RNAcentral